GGAGGUCACUGCUAUCGGAGUCCGACUAAGCCAUGCGAGUCGAGGGCCCCCGCAAGGGGGACCGGCGUACUGCUCAGUAACACGUGGACAACCUGCCCUCGGGUCGGGGAUACCCCCGGGAAACUGGGGACAAUACCCGGCGGGCCACGGAGGCUGGAAUGCCCUGUGGCCGAAAGGCGCAAGCCGCCCGAGGAUGGGUCUGCGGCCUAUCAGGCUGUUGGGGGGUGUAACGGACCCCCAAACCGAAGACGGGUACGGGCACUGAGAGGUGGAGCCCGGAGUUGGGUUCUGAGACAUGAACCCAGGCCCUACGGGCGCAGCAGGCGCGAUG
RNAcentral lists this ribosomal RNA (331 nucleotides) under uncultured archaeon. RNAcentral describes it as "bacterial SSU rRNA". It matches the Rfam family "Archaeal small subunit ribosomal RNA", at positions 19 to 346 of the family's 1478-position model. The record is from RNAcentral.